Molecule: non-coding RNA, 28 nt
Filed under: Rattus norvegicus (Norway rat)
Lineage: Eukaryota; Metazoa; Chordata; Mammalia; Rodentia; Muridae
Source: RNAcentral
UUCUCCUUUUUCCUACCAUGUGUGCUUU